RNAcentral lists this long non-coding RNA (4297 nucleotides) under Equus caballus (horse). RNAcentral's name for it is "lncRNA (ENSECAG00000057533.1)". Lineage: Eukaryota; Metazoa; Chordata; Mammalia; Perissodactyla; Equidae. The record is from RNAcentral.
CUCCACCCUUCACUCGCCUCAUUGUGCCCAGGCAGCACCAAGGUCAGAAAUUAAUUGGAGACACUGCAAAACACACAGCCUGUAAUAUUUCAGUUCAGUGAGGUCACAAGAAAAACUCAGUUAAAGCCUUAUUAGAGCAGUUUACAGGAGCACAUUACUGCGAAUAUGAAAUGAGAGUCUUGUCUUGAUGGAUGCGUCACCUACCCAAGAUAUUUGUUGAGAAUAAUUUGAAAAUCACCCCCGUACAUGGUUGUAUAUUCUUCGUUGUGGGUCCUUCUAGUUGUGGCAUGUGGGACGCUGCCUCAGCGUGGUUUGACGAGCAGUGCCAUGUCCGCGCCCAGGAUUCGAACCAACGAAACACUGGGCCGCCUGCAGCGGAGCGCGCGAACUUAACCACUCGGCCACGGGGCCAGCCCCUGCAAUUAAUAUUUUUAUCCGGCCCAAGAAUCCUCUACCUACGGCUGGCAGAUGAAGAAAAGAAAUCGGAGGAGGCACACUGUCUACAGAUGCUGAGACUGAGCCUUGGAGUAAUUAAGUGAAUUAUCUAAUCGCACAGGUGGAAAGUGGCAAAUUCAGGAUUCCAACCUUCAUUUUCUCACUUCAACGCCACCACUCCUAACCACCAUCCUGUACAAUGCCCCUAUCGCCAUGGCCUGGGGCCAAGAAGCUGAAUGGAAAAGGACAUUUCUAUUUACUUCAGAGGAAGUUCGUUAUGAAAUAAGGAUCAUCCUUGAAUACUCCUUUCUCCAUGGUCACAAGAUUGUUACAAAGAGGUGACAUAAAGUACCUCUCCUGAUUAUGAUUCUGGACUGCCUGUGUUCAAACCUCAGCUCUGUGACUCCUGAUGAAUAGUUCAAUUCUUCUGUUUCCCUACAUGUAAAAUGGGUACAGCAAUAGUGCCUGCCUCAUUGGUCACUGUGAUGAUUAUAAAUGUAAUGCCCUCAAAAUCGCAUAUGGCACUAACCAUGCCAUCAAGUACGUGCAUGCCCUCAACUAGCUCACAGCUUUGACAUUUCAAGACAAAAAUAAGGCUUUCCCACAAUUUUCAUUUAGUGUUUAAUUUCCAUUUCAUGUUACAUCAAUUACAUUUUUCUAAGACAGAAAAUAUGCCAAGUGCUAUAAAAUAUAUAUUAUGCUCAAUAUGAGCUCUGAAAGGACAUUACUUUAAAGCAAAAGUGCUUACAAAGAAAUAAAUGUUUAGAAAGCAUAUUCUGAAAAGAGCCAGCUAUUACAAUGAUAUAAAGAUAUGUGCAAUGCACUCUAAUUUUCCAUUUUUAGAAAUUGCAAAGCAUGUUAUGUCUUGACACGAGCCUGGUAAAGAUCUCGUUCCGUUCCCCUCACUUUUUUCAAAUAAUUAUGGGUUCCAACUUCUUUUCUAUUACUGUAAUUUAAAAUAUCAAGGCAUGAAACAUAAGUAAUAAGAUGGAGUUUCUUUGUAUUCUCUGGACUUUUGCUUUAAAGAUGGAGAAUAAAGCAAAAGAGUUAUAAGGAUAGAAAUUCACUUGCGACCACCUGGCUGUGAAAAGCCUGAAUGUGCUGGAGUGAUUGGGUGGUCCUGGGGGCCACCCACUCAGUUCAGGCUGAAGAGGGUAAGAAAGGAAAGAAAAGAAGGAAAGAGACCCUUUUGUCCUUCUGUGUCCCCUGCUGCCUGCAUGUUCUCUCUGUAGCACUUCUCAAUGGAAUAUUAUCUAGGUCUUCUUUUCCUUUCUGCUUUAGCUCUGUCUCUUAGCCCAUUUAAAGUUCCUCUCUCUCACCUUUUAGGGCCUUAAGGUCUUAUACUUUGACAGACAAAAUUUUAAAAAUAUAAUUAUUAUAAGUCAUUCCUGGAAAUACAAUGCCUUACCCAAAAGAAUUACUUUCUAGUGGUAGAAAUCUGGCACGUGGCAGAUAGUGGGAAAGCUAUCUUAGGGAAGGGGCCCCCUGAGCUCACUGUGAUGGCUUCCCUGGUCUGCUGUGGUGACGGACUGGGCUAGUUACAACAUCUGAGAGAAGUAGCAACAGGAGAGAAAAGAAAAUAGGAGAAGAAGAGAACUUUAUUUUUCGCUUACUACACAUAAAAUGUUUCUUUCUUCUCCAACGGGAGGCGUGAGAAGAGGAUGUGCUUCACACCUGCAGUGAUUCGGGAUGGGCUGGAGCGGGGAGGGGGUCUGACUGUUACCUAACACGUCUCUAGGUGUAUUUUGUUGUGAAAAGCUUUGCCUAUAUUGCUUUAAAAAAAGAAAGAGAAACUCACACUUUUCUCUCUUUGUAGUUGUCGUAUCUGGAUAAUGGUCAUAUAUUUUUUAACUUACAAUAUAUUAAAGUUUCAUCUUUAAUUUGUUUUUCUAUUUUAUUUAACAGAGUCAGAUUUUUAAAAACAAAAUCUAUAACCCAUCAAAUGCUCAAUCAAGGAUUCUGCUUAAGGAAGAAUAGAAACCUUGAUAUAUUUUAAAAACUAAUAUAUGUUAAAAUACAGAUCUUUUCGAAAAGAAUAUAAAGCUGAAAGUUUGUCUAUGGCUAAUAGUGUUUUAGGAGGAAAGCUUAUUUUGAAACCAUUAAAUUUUAAAUACUUUAUUCUUGCAAAUUCUUUAUGCACUCAACUUCCCUCUUAAAAAGAGAUGUGUGAAAUAGGGACAGAAAUAUUUAAAAAAAUAAAACCUAUGACAUUAUGAACUGUGGCAUUCAAUAGCCAUAGUUAAAUAGAGAGCUCACAAAUUUGACUCUUUAAAGCAAAAUGAAGCUUUCACAAAAUUUCCAUUUAGCUUUACAUUAUUGCAUUUUCCUAAAUUACAAAAAUGUGUGUGGUGCUUUAAAUAGAUGACAAUGCUCAGUUCAAGUUCUGGAAGGAUAUUACUUUAAACCAACAUGGCAAUCAGAAUACAGCUGCAGGACUAGCAACAGCUGGCCACAGCUGAAGGAUCCAAUCCUCAGAAAGCUAGAAAACCUGGAAAACUAGGAGGGCAGUCAUCAGCAACAGGGAUGUCUCUCAGAACAAAAGACCAAGCCUGUAGGUGGGAUUUGGGAAUGAGGACCUUUUUAGGUGGGAGUGAGUUUGGCAAUAACAAGGAGAGAGAUAUAGGUAGAGAGAGGUAAUAGGACCCUGAAUGUUAGGAACAAGAUUGGAGUUGAAUUCUCACAAAUGGAAACUAUGCUUCUCAGAAUGAGACCAAAACCUAGUUUCCAGUACUGGGUCAAAGAAGAGUGUUGAACGACAACAAGAAUGGCCUUAUAGACCAGACUGAAAUUCUUCCUCAACAAGGUUAAGAUAAGCCUUAGAAACUUGAAUGGAGUUGAGACUGUAAGUGACAAUUAGGUGGCCCCAGUUACAGGAAGAGGCAAGUUAAUGUUGGAAACUUGUUUGGGUCUGACAGUGGAAACUUAAAUAAAAGUGCCAUUUUCACUGGGGAAUGGGAAAAAUGGUGUUGGGUGGGAAGUUUUUCAGGAUGAGUGGAAUGGAGAUGAGAAAGGAAGAGAGGGAAAGGGCAUUCCAGGUGGAAUGACUAAUAAGCAAUGAAAUGAUGAGUUGUUGUUGAGGAAUGACAAGUUUAUUAUGUGGUUGAGCAAAGGGUGAGAGGAGAGAUGAGUGGAAAUAGGAUGGGCCCAAUGGCGAGAGGCCUGAGUACCAUUUUGAGGAAUUUAACCAAGUUCUAUUUGAAGAAUGACAAGCAAGCAAAGAGUGAGAGGGGAAAUCUGUGGAAUCAAGAAUGGGCCUAAAUAAUGACAUUCUGAGGAAUUUAAACUUUAUUCUACAGGCCCUGGUCAGCAUUGAAUAUUCAAGAGGGAACUAAUUGGAUUUAACUUGCUUUUUGGAAGAUAACUUUGGAGACAGUGUGAUGAGUUUGCAUUUUCAGUUCUGGCAAGAAAUAACAAGGCCUCAAACUAAGACAGCAGUGGCAUAAAUACAGCUACUAUGGCUUUAAUAAAAUUUGCAUCACUUGGUGAAGGUUUGAAUAUUGGUAUAAAUCAAAACAGUUAAAAUGCAGGAGAAAAACACGUGUUCCCAAACACAAAGAAAUGUGCUCAUUUGAUAGGCCGUCCCAGAAUUUCCCAGGUGCUGGGAUGUACCACUGAGAUUCAGAUUAAUCAGCUUCUGGGAGGGGUCUGGACAUUUCCGUUUUGAACAAUGGUUUGGAGACAAUGAUUGCAUACGUUGUUCAGUGUCUGAUAGGUCAAGUAGAUAGAAAAGACAUAGGGAGAAAUUUCUUGACCUGGAUAAAGUCACUUGCAAUCUCAACUCCAUAAAGGAUAGUGGUUACAUUGCUCUGUUAUAUUUGUAAUAAUUACGGAAACAUAUACUUAUUAUUUAUGUACUUUUCUC